Molecule: long non-coding RNA, 1026 nt
Organism: Magnolia sinica
Lineage: Eukaryota; Viridiplantae; Streptophyta; Magnoliopsida; Magnoliales; Magnoliaceae
Exons: 2
Source: RefSeq, a predicted model, not a curated record
AAAUUUAAUGAGGGAGAGGUCACACGCCCUCCUCUUUUUUAUAGAUCCAAAAAGUUUCAAAUUUUACAAAAAUCCCCGUCUUGUGAGCUUUAACGAAAAUAGCCCUAGUCUAAAUAAAAUCAACUAAAACAUCCAUAAUGUGUCCAAAUAUAAAAUAAUCAAAAACUAAAUCCUAAAAUAUGAUAAAGUCUAAAACUGAUGUGGACGAUCAAUGAUCAAUGACCCGAUCAUGUGAUCCAUGUGAUCCAAUGGCCCGAUCGUCACGUCCCUCCGAUCCAACGGUCUGGAUCACUCCUUAAAGCAGCUCAUGUGCAUCUUCCCAGUAUGGGGUCUUCCAGAUGCUCGCACAUGCACAUGGGGUCUUCAGCACGAUCACGGGUACUCACCUAGCCAUAGGGAAAGUGGUGCGGCCCGCCUCCUCCUCUGAUACGUACGUAAGGGUGUAUGUGACGUGAUGUCCUCAUCAGAUCUAUUUGCUUUGAGAGAGCUGUGAACAACAAAAUAUUUCUCCAAUAAAGAGAGUAUCAAACUAAUAGUGAAAAGGAAGGACAAGAAGAAAAGUAUGGAGGAAAAGGAGAAGGAGAAAGAAAAGUGUCAACUGAAUAGCAGGUAGUAGUUGGUAUACAAACUUCUCUAGGAUAAGUACCACUUGAACAAUGGAUAAUAGUUCUAGAGGAAAUAAAAUGGCACCUUGUUGGAAAACAGCCCCGAUAUCUUUCAGGAUAACCCCCUUGACGUAUUUAGUUACCUAAACCAAGUCGAAAACUGCCCUUGUAGGAAGAAAGACUCUUGCUUGACAUUCAACCUAUGGAAUUGUUAAAGAAUGGAACAAAUCUCAUCCUAUUUUGGCCCUCCCGUAUCCAGCAAGUCAUGCAGGAGCCCCUUAUGGGCUGUUGACAUUUUCAAAACUCUCUCAAAACUAAUUAUCAAGCUUCGAAGGCUCCUAAGCUGGCUAAUAAGCACUCUCAUAUUUGAUGCCGACUCCAAUCUAUUCAUCAAGAGCUUAGCAGCUUUAAGAACCUGCUA